Molecule: transfer RNA, 92 nt
Filed under: Macrophomina phaseolina
Lineage: Eukaryota; Fungi; Ascomycota; Dothideomycetes; Botryosphaeriales; Botryosphaeriaceae
Also listed under: 1 other name
Description: tRNA-Lys
Rfam family: tRNA
About the family: Transfer RNA (tRNA) molecules are approximately 80 nucleotides in length.
Source: RNAcentral
GCCCGGCUAGCUCAAUCGGUAGAGCGUGAGACUCUUAAAACACUCUCUAGAGUGGUAUCUCAAGGCUGCGGGUUCGACCCCCGCGUUGGGCU